CAACUUUUUCAUGAAACCCCAUAAAAUUAUUUUCAGCUUACCCUCUUUUAUUUUUAAAACAUUUUAAUUUGGUUACAAACUUUUUUUUCUCUUUCUCUAUGCUCUUUUCCUUUCAUGGUGCUCUCAGUCCUCAAGAAAAAGGAAGAAAAAGUAGUUGUGGCUCGUGUCCUAGGAGGAGGAAGACGUUCGUUCUUUCGAUUUUAUCCACAAACUGCAUAGAUUUCAUAAUUAUUAAAGGGAGUAUUGCUCUAGAAUUUUGUGCUCUAGAGAGAGAUAAACGAAGCACUUGUAGCUCGUGCCCUAAGGAGAGAAAGACGUUCGCUCUUUCGAUUUCAUCAUUCUCCCUGCAAUCUAAGGUCUUGAAACUUGUUAUUUCGGAAUGUAAACCUAAGGCUAAGAUUGUGGACAUUUGUGGGAAAGGGGAUUCUUAUAUUAGAGAACAAACUAGAAAUGUAUACAAGAACGUGAAGAGGAAGAUUGAGAGAGGAUUUGAUUUUCCCACAUGUAUAUCAAUAAACAAAGUAGUCCAUUUCUCUCCACUAGCUAGUGAUGAGGCAGUGUUGGAAGAAGGUGCUUGGAAGGUCCUAUCACAGGAAGGGCAACAAAUGUCAUUGUUGCUACAAAUACUGCUGCAGAAGUGGCCUUGAGGCUUGUCAGGCCAGGAAAGAAGGAUAAAGAUUGGUAGGCCAACAAUGGAGCUGGAAAAAAUAGCAACAAGUACUGGCUACAAUCCUUGGGAGAGCUAGUGAUUGGGAUGUUCUGAUUGCUGGUGUUAUGGUGGUUGCAAUUGAGGGAAUUGACAUGCUAAUAUAUAGAAUGCAUGCCACUGCAAGGCCCUGGAGAUUGCAGUCUUUUCUACUGAUGGUGAACUUCUAGAAAGCUGGCAUAUGCAUGGGUCUCUUUGUUGACGCUUUUAAGUUAGGCAGCUAAAAUCCCACAGGACUUUUCUUUUCAAUUUAUUGUUGUAUAUCACAAACUCUGAAGUGGAGCAAACGUAACACAAGGAUAUAGUUUUGGUGCAGUUGAAAGUGUGAAGGCAACUAGUGACGUUAACUCUCCUAUUUCUGGUAAAGUGAUUGAAGUGAAUGAAGAUCUUAGUAGCUCUCCAGCUUUGGUUCAAUUGGUCAAUAAUAUAUACUAAUAAUCAAAACUCAGGAACAAGAAGACCACUUGUGAAGAUGACUACUUAGGAAGAUUAGAGAUAAUUAAUUUGCUUUAAGGC
Vigna unguiculata (cowpea) is the source of this 1222-nucleotide long non-coding RNA. The record is from RefSeq and is a predicted model, not a curated record. NCBI's taxonomy places the organism in Eukaryota, Viridiplantae, Streptophyta, Magnoliopsida, Fabales, Fabaceae.